CGGUUUAAGCCUAGCGGCAGCCUAUACAUGCAAGUCGAGGGGCAGCACGGUUUUCGGACUGGUGGCGACCGGCGCACGGGUGCGUAACGCGUAUGCAACCUACCUUAUACAGGGAGAUAGCCCAGAGAAAUUUGGAUUAAUACCCCAUAGUACUACAAGACGGCAUCUGAAAGUAGUUAAAGAUUUAUCGGUAUAAGAUGGGCAUGCGUUAGAUUAGCUAGUUGGUGAGGUAACGGCUCACCAAGGCAACGAUCUAUAGGGGACCUGAGAGGGUGAUCCCCCACACUGGUACUGAGAUACGGACCAGACUCCUACGGGAGGCAGCAGUAGGGAAUAUUGGUCAAUGGAGGGAACUCUGAACCAGCCAUGCCGCGUGCAGGAAGACGGCCUUCUGGGUUGUAAACUGCUUUUGACAGGGAAGAAAUAGUCCAUGCGUGGACAGUUGACGGUACCUGUAGAAUAAGCACCGGCUAACUCCGUGCCAGCAGCCGCGGUAAUACGGAGGGUGCGAGCGUUGUCCGGAUUUAUUGGGUUUAAAGGGUACGUAGGCGGUAAUAUAAGUCAGUGGUGAAAUCCUGCAGCUCAACUGUAGAACUGCCAUUGAAACUGUAUUACUUGAGUAUACUUGAGGUAGGCGGAAUGAGUAGUGUAGCGGUGAAAUGCUUAGAUAUUACUCAGAACACCGAUUGCGAAGGCAGCUUACUAAGGUAUAACUGACGCUGAUGUACGAAAGCGUGGGGAGCGAACAGGAUUAGAUACCCUGGUAGUCCACGCCGUAAACGAUGAUUACUCGCUGUUGGCGAUACACAGUCAGUGGCUAAGCGAAAGUUUUAAGUAAUCCGCCUGGGGAGUACGCUCGCAAGAGUGAAACUCAAAGGAAUUGACGAAA
RNAcentral lists this ribosomal RNA (889 nucleotides) under uncultured bacterium. RNAcentral's name for it is "bacterial SSU rRNA". It matches the Rfam family "Bacterial small subunit ribosomal RNA", at positions 26 to 918 of the family's 1533-position model. The record is from RNAcentral.